UACAGAGGUCCCAAGCGUUGUUCGGAUUCAUUGGGCGUAAAGGGUGCGUAGGCGGCGCGGUAAGUCGGGUGUGAAAUUUCGGAGCUUAACUCCGAAACUGCAUUUGAUACUGGCGUGCUUGAGGACUGGGGAGACUGGAAUUUACGGUGUAGCGGUGAAAUGCGUAGAUAUCGUAAGGAAGACCAGUGGCGAAGGCGGGUCUCUGGACAGUUCCUGACGCUGAGGCACGAAGGCCAGGGGAGCAAACGGG
RNAcentral lists this ribosomal RNA (250 nucleotides) under uncultured bacterium. RNAcentral describes it as "partial 16S ribosomal RNA". It matches the Rfam family "Bacterial small subunit ribosomal RNA", at positions 524 to 776 of the family's 1533-position model. The record is from RNAcentral.